UCUCAGAUAGUAUAGUGGUAAGUAUCCCCGCCUGUCACGCGGGAGACCGGGGUUCAAUUCCCCGUCUGAGAG
Halteromyces radiatus is the source of this 72-nucleotide non-coding RNA. The record is from the annotation of a RefSeq genome assembly. NCBI's taxonomy places the organism in Eukaryota, Fungi, Mucoromycota, Mucoromycetes, Mucorales, Cunninghamellaceae.